This is a long non-coding RNA of Vigna unguiculata (cowpea), 493 nucleotides long. RefSeq lists it as uncharacterized. The record is from RefSeq and is a predicted model, not a curated record. Lineage: Eukaryota; Viridiplantae; Streptophyta; Magnoliopsida; Fabales; Fabaceae.
UGGAAGAAACAAUGCCCAAUAGUUGGUGGCGUUUGUUUCAACUGAGCCUGUUUUUUUCUCUGUAUAUAUUACAACAUCUCAUCUCAUCGCAUCAAGCAUUUGCAGUUUUCACAGUUUUUUUUUUUUUCUCCUUUCUGUUGCGAAAACAACAAUAAAAUUCACAUGAUUGUGAUGCCUCUGAUGCUGUGUCCAUGGUGGUCAUUGGUGAAGCUGGGAACAGCACUGGUGUGUGAACCUUCGUCAACUUUGACAACGAUUUUGUAUCACGCCGAGUUGCUUCCCCGCAACCUUAACUUGGAUCGAUUAGUGCGACGUGAGUUUCUUCACCGAGAAAACCAUUUCUUCCAUUUUCUCACCACUGUGUUGAGGUGUGUCUGGUAGAUACCAUACCAACAAUGAAUGUGUCGGGUUCAGUAUUAAUGGAAGUGUUUGUAAGAGAAACUAAAAAAACAAAAAUUAGUAAAUUGUCUGGAUGUAACGUAGAAAUAUUAAA